GGAAUUAUUUCUGUGUUAAUGCAUUUCUUUAACAAUGUUUUAUGCUAUUGUCAAAUAAAUGUCAUAAUAUCUACCUAAUAUUUAAGAUUUCGGCACGAAAAAUUGCUUUACUGAGGUUAAUGGAUUUAAUUUUUGUUGCUACAUCGAUUAGCCUUAAGGUGUUCUGCACAGGAAAGGGAAAGAAGCUGAACGCAAACCAGCUGAUCGUAGUGUACAAUUUCAAAGUGGCCGAAAGAGUGUUGUGUUUUGAGUGAUAUAUACACAGGUUAAUUACGUUGACAAUUAUCCUGCAACGACUUCAAGAGAAGGAAUUCUAAGGAACUUAUUGGUGUCAUCAGUGAGGCUGUGAGGCACUGCUAAAAAGGGCAGACGCAUCUCCAGGGAGGCCGUGCCACACGGAAACCGGAACGAUUGCUUGAAAUUACGAGAGGCAAAUAACAGGGUGACAAUCAGGGCGCAGCUAUCGUUUGAUAGUUGUGAUGAGAUCCACCUGCACCUUCAGAAGUAACCUGUUCGCUAUUUCUGUAUCAAAAUGCUUCUUGCCCUUUUGAUCAGUAGCCGCCAGUUAUGCAUUUAUAUUCCCGAUCUUCUUUUCUUCUUGACGUAAGGUCAAUGGUAUUUGUAUGAUGGUGACGUACUGGGUUACAGUGUUGUAAUCCAACCAAAGAAGAACUAUUUCGUCGACCUUUGUACAUGUAAAGGAAAUCUAUGAAUGAAUGCGAGAUAAUGUAAAGAGCUCUUCAGUUAAUAA
Macrobrachium nipponense is the source of this 751-nucleotide long non-coding RNA. RefSeq lists it as uncharacterized. The record is from RefSeq and is a predicted model, not a curated record. The transcript is spliced from 5 exons. NCBI's taxonomy places the organism in Eukaryota, Metazoa, Arthropoda, Malacostraca, Decapoda, Palaemonidae.